GGCUCAAUAGCUCAGGGGUUAGCACACUGCUCUUGUAAACUAGGGGUUGCAAGUUCAAAUCUCACUAGGGCCU
Gymnothorax javanicus (giant moray) is the source of this 73-nucleotide non-coding RNA. Lineage: Eukaryota; Metazoa; Chordata; Actinopteri; Anguilliformes; Muraenidae. The record is from the annotation of a GenBank genome assembly.